This 1372-nucleotide ribosomal RNA is filed under the name uncultured bacterium. Its description in RNAcentral is "bacterial SSU rRNA". It matches the Rfam family "Bacterial small subunit ribosomal RNA", at positions 28 to 1381 of the family's 1533-position model. The record is from RNAcentral.
GAUGAACGCUGGCGGCGUGCCUAAUACAUGCAAGUCGAGCGAACGGACGAGAAGCUUGCUUCUCUGAUGUUAGCGGCGGACGGGUGAGUAACACGUGGAUAACCUACCUAUAAGACUGGGAUAACUUCGGGAAACCGGAGCUAAUACCGGAUAAUAUUUUGAACCGCAUGGUUCAAAAGUAAAAGACGGUCUUGCUGUCACUUAUAGAUGGAUCCGCGCUGCAUUAGCUAGUUGGUAAGGUAACGGCUUACCAAGGCAACGAUGCAUAGCCGACCUGAGAGGGUGAUCGGCCACACUGGAACUGAGACACGGUCCAGACUCCUACGGGAGGCAGCAGUAGGGAAUCUUCCGCAAUGGGCGAAAGCCUGACGGAGCAACGCCGCGUGAGUGAUGAAGGUCUUCGGAUCGUAAAACUCUGUUAUUAGGGAAGAAUAUAUGUGUAAGUAACUGUGCACAUCUUGACGGUACCUAAUCAGAAAGCCACGGCUAACUACGUGCCAGCAGCCGCGGUAAUAUGUAGGUGGCAAGCGUUAUCCGGAAUUAUUGGGCGUAAAGCGCGCGUAGGCGGUUUUUUAAGUCUGAUGUGAAAGCCCACGGCUCAACCGUGGAGGGUCAUUGGAAACUGGAAAACUUGAGUGCAGAAGAGGAAAGUGGAAUUCCAUGUGUAGCGGUGAAAUGCGCAGAGAUAUGGAGGAACACCAGUGGCGAAGGCGACUUUCUGGUCUGUAACUGACGCUGAUGUGCGAAAGCGUGGGGAUCAAACAGGAUUAGAUACCCUGGUAGUCCACGCCGUAAACGAUGAGUGCUAAGUGUUAGGGGGUUUCCGCCCCUUAGUGCUGCAGCUAACGCAUUAAGCACUCCGCCUGGGGAGUACGACCGCAAGGUUGAAACUCAAAGGAAUUGACGGGGACCCGCACAAGCGGUGGAGCAUGUGGUUUAAUUCGAAGCAACGCGAAGAACCUUACCAAAUCUUGACAUCCUUUGACAACUCUAGAGAUAGAGCCUUCCCCCUCGGGGGACAAAGUGACAGGUGGUGCAUGGUUGUCGUCAGCUCGUGUCGUGAGAUGUUGGGUUAAGUCCCGCAACGAGCGCAACCCUUAAGCUUAGUUGCCAUCAUUAAGUUGGGCACUCUAAGUUGACUGCCGGUGACAAACCGGAGGAAGGUGGGGAUGACGUCAAAUCAUCAUGCCCCUUAUGAUUUGGGCUACACACGUGCUACAAUGGACAAUACAAAGGGCAGCGAAACCGCGAGGUCAAGCAAAUCCCAUAAAGUUGUUCUCAGUUCGGAUUGUAGUCUGCAACUCGACUACAUGAAGCUGGAAUCGCUAGUAAUCGUAGAUCAGCAUGCUACGGUGAAUACGUUCCCGGGUCU